Molecule: transfer-messenger RNA, 344 nt
Filed under: Alphaproteobacteria bacterium
Lineage: Bacteria; Pseudomonadati; Pseudomonadota; Alphaproteobacteria
Rfam family: Alphaproteobacteria transfer-messenger RNA
About the family: Bacterial tmRNA, also known as 10Sa RNA or SsrA, is named for its dual tRNA and mRNA-like properties.
Source: RNAcentral
AACCCUUCCAAAAUGGGCGAAAAUGCUUAUAUUUGGAGUGCCGGCUUGUCCGGCUAUGACGCUAAACGCUUUGCGGAAUAGACGUAGCGGACCCGGGGGCGGUACCCGGCGCCUCCACCAGGAGCGCAUUUUUGGCCGAAUCACUAGCAACUGGCCCAAGGAUGUGUUGCUGAUGGGGGCGAAAUAGGAUCGACGCGCGUAAUAAAGGCACGGUUUGCGUUCGGCAUGGCUCCGCCGUUAUCGGGCCAUAUCUACAAGUGCCAAUGAUAAUGAAAUGGUGCUCGCUGCCUAAUUGAAAGGUAAGCGCGGUUUCGGGGGGCACCGGGCAACAGAAGCCCCCCACU